CGUUUUGAUUUAACGUGUCGUGAAAACCUAUACAGGGUGUCCUACGGUGAUUUACCCAUUGCGAUAUCUUGGAAAGUAUUGACUUCUUUAAAUAUUUUUUUUUUUAAAUUUAAGAAACAAAUUGCAAUAAAAAUGUACACUUUUAUAAUUUCCGUAGCCCUUAUUUUCAAGAGUGAAACGGCCCUUACCAAAUUUAAAAGUGGAAUAUUCCGUUAACGGUUUGACGUUUGAUUUACACUAAAUUAAUAUUCCCAUUCAUUGUAACGAAAAGGC
Molecule: non-coding RNA, 273 nt
Organism: Cinara cedri
Lineage: Eukaryota; Metazoa; Arthropoda; Insecta; Hemiptera; Aphididae
Source: the annotation of a GenBank genome assembly